ACGUACGCCACGGGGUGUGUAGCAUACUGGUGAGGGUAAGCUACGCUAACAUCGCAAAACGGCGCACCUUGCAAGUCGUUUGGUGAGUAGAGGGGAGGUGGAGGUGGAGGUGGAGGUGGAGGUGGAGGUGGAGGUGGAGGUGGAGGAGGGCCGGUGUACGGAUAGAAAAGUUGAGGUGGUCUAAGUAAGGGAAAUUGGGAGGGAUUAGUAGGGUUUCUGGGCCU
Molecule: long non-coding RNA, 224 nt
Filed under: Carica papaya (papaya)
Lineage: Eukaryota; Viridiplantae; Streptophyta; Magnoliopsida; Brassicales; Caricaceae
Description: long non-coding RNA (CPAP_LNC009946)
Source: RNAcentral